CUCCCUCCAGCUGUCGGCUUCCUUCUGUGGCUCUCUAAGGAGGGGGAGAUGUGGCUGUCGGCUGUUCCAGAUUUACUUCCUGCCAGUUGAGCAGAAAGAAAACUUCUCUGCCUCAGCAUUUCAGACAGUUCGGUGGGUUUUGAUGAACACGGGUAGCCAUGGAAUCACUGUGACAAUCAAGCUGCAAGGCAGCGCGUCACCCCCAGACUCCACUGCGCCGUCUGGAGCCACCCCCUCGUCCUGCUCCUGGGCAGCCACGGAGCUGAGUUGUGUCGCUACAGCUCUUCCCUGUCUCUGAACGCUGCAGAAGGGGAAUCGCAGAGGACACAGCAUCGGGAGUCUGGUUUCCCCGGCUGGAAUUCCGGAUUCGUCUUGUCGUCAUGCACACCUUCCAUUUUAUGGCACAACGGUGCCCGGUUGUACAGCUGCACCACUUUGUUCAUCCAUUUCCCAGUUGAGGGAUAUUUGGGUUGUGUCCGGGUUUGGGCCACUAGCAAUAAAGCUUCCAUAAACACUCCUGUA
Molecule: long non-coding RNA, 522 nt
Organism: Herpailurus yagouaroundi (jaguarundi)
Lineage: Eukaryota; Metazoa; Chordata; Mammalia; Carnivora; Felidae
Exons: 2
Source: RefSeq, a predicted model, not a curated record